CGUAGGGGGCAAGCGUUGUCCGGAUUUAUUGGGCGUAAAGCGCUCGCAGGUGGUUCGUUGCGUCGUGCGUGAAAGACCCCGGCUCAACUGGGGGGUGUCGUGCGAUACGGGCGAACUGGAGGCCAUAGGGGGGAUGCGGAAUUCCGGGUGUAGUGGUGGAAUGCGUAGAGAUCCGGAGGAACACCAGCGGCGGAGGCGGCAUCCUGGACUGGUCCUGACACUCAGGAGCGAAAGCGUGGGGAGCGAUCCGGAUUAGAUACCCGGGUAGUCCACGCUGUAAACGAUGAGUACUAGGUGUCGGGGGUAUCGACCCCCUCGGUGCCGCAGCUAACGCGAUAAGUACUCCGCCUGGGGACUACGGCCGCAAGGCUA
Molecule: ribosomal RNA, 372 nt
Filed under: uncultured organism
Description: bacterial SSU rRNA
Rfam family: Bacterial small subunit ribosomal RNA
Source: RNAcentral